Molecule: ribosomal RNA, 440 nt
Filed under: uncultured bacterium
Lineage: Bacteria
Description: partial 16S ribosomal RNA
Rfam family: Bacterial small subunit ribosomal RNA
Source: RNAcentral
CCUACGGGUGGCUGCAGUGGGGGAUAUUGCACAAUGGGGGAAACCCUGAUGCAGCGACGCCGCGUGUGGGAAGACGGUCCUCUGGAUUGUAAACCACUGUCCCCAGGGACGAAGAUGACGGUACCUGGGGAGGAAGCUCCGGCGAACUACGUGCCAGAAGCCGCGGUAAUACGUAGGGGGCAAGCGUUGUCCGGAAUUACUGGGUGUAAAGGGAGCGUAGGCGGGGUGGCAAGGUGGGUGUUAAAUCUACCGGCUGAACUGGUAGUCGCACUCAAAACUGGUAUUCUUGAGUGAAGUAGAGGCAGGCGGAAUUCCUGGUGUAGCGGUGAAAUGCGUAGAUAUCAGGAGGAACACCGGUGGCGAAGGCGGCCUGCUGGACAGCAACUGACGUUGAGGCCCGAAAGCGUGGGGAGCAAACAGGAUUAGAUACCCUUGUAGUC